This 497-nucleotide ribosomal RNA is filed under the name uncultured bacterium. RNAcentral describes it as "partial 16S ribosomal RNA". It matches the Rfam family "Bacterial small subunit ribosomal RNA", at positions 28 to 507 of the family's 1533-position model. The record is from RNAcentral.
GAUGAACGCUGGCGGCGUGCCUAAUACAUGCAAGUCGAGCGAACAGACGAGGAGCUUGCUCCUCUGACGUUAGCGGCGGUCGGGUGAGUAACACGUGGAUAACCUACCUAUAAGACUGGGAUAACUUCGGGAAACCGGAGCUAAUACCGGAUAACAUGUUGAACCGCAUGGUUCAACAGUGAAAGACGGUCUUGCUGUCACUUAUAGAUGGAUCCGCGCCGCAUUAGCUAGUUGGUAAGGUAACGGCUUACCAAGGCAACGAUGCGUAGCCGACCUGAGAGGGUGAUCGGCCACACUGGAACUGAGACACGGUCCAGACUCCUACGGGAGGCAGCAGUAGGGAAUCUUCCGCAAUGGGCGAAAGCCUGACGGAGCAACGCCGCGUGAGUGAAGAAGGUCUUCGGAUCGUAAAACUCUGUUAUUAGGGAAGAACAAAUGUGUAAGUAACUAUGCACGUCUUGACGGUACCUAAUCAGAAAGCCACGGCUAACUACGUG